RNAcentral lists this ribosomal RNA (130 nucleotides) under uncultured bacterium. RNAcentral describes it as "partial 16S ribosomal RNA". The record is from RNAcentral.
GGGGGGAAGCUGGAGCCAGCCCUGCCGCGUGAGGGGAGGAAGGCCUUCGGGUUGUAAAACUGUUUUGUUAUGGAAGAAUUGAAGGUAACUAGAGAGGGGGCCCUGCUACUUCCGUGCCAGCAGGCUCGGU